Molecule: ribosomal RNA, 468 nt
Filed under: uncultured bacterium
Lineage: Bacteria
Description: partial 16S ribosomal RNA
Rfam family: Bacterial small subunit ribosomal RNA
Source: RNAcentral
GAUGAACGCUGGCGGCGUGCUUAACACAUGCAAGUCGAACGGAAAGGCCCUGCUAUUGUGGGGUGCUCGAGUGGCGAACGGGUGAGUAACAGGUGAGUAACCUGCCCUUGACUUUGGGAUAACUUCAGGAAACUGGGGCUAAUACCGGAUAGGAGCCCCCGCUGCAUGGUGGGGGGUGGAACGUUUCGGCGGGUGGGGAUGGACUCGCGGCUUAUGAGCUUGCUGGUGGGGUAGUGGCUUACCCAGGAAUUGACGGGUACCCGGCCUGAGAGGGGGGCCGGCCACAUGGGGACUAAGGUACGGCGCAGACUCCUACGGGAGACAGCAGUGGCGAAUAUUGCACAGUGGGAGCAAGCCUGUUGCAGCAACGCCGCGUGCGGGAUGACGGCCUUCGGGUUGAAAACCGCUUUCGCCUGUGACGAAGCGUGAGUGACGGUAAUGGGUAAAGAAGCACCGGCUAACUACGUG